This 729-nucleotide ribosomal RNA is filed under the name Candidatus Tremblayella phenacoccinincola. RNAcentral describes it as "bacterial SSU rRNA". It matches the Rfam family "Bacterial small subunit ribosomal RNA", at positions 658 to 1382 of the family's 1533-position model. Lineage: Bacteria; Pseudomonadati; Pseudomonadota; Betaproteobacteria. The record is from RNAcentral.
GGGAUAGAAUUCCAGGAGUAGCGGUGAAAUGCGUAGAUAUCUGGAGGAAUACCAAAGGCGAAGGCAGUCCCCUGGUCCGAUACUGACACUGAGGUACGAAAGCGCGGGGAGCAAACAGGAUUAGAUACCCUGGUAGUCCACGCCCUAAACGAUGUCGAUUAGCCAUUGGAAGGACCCCUUUUCCUUUCAGUGACGUAGCUAACGCGUUAAAUCGACCGCCUGGGAAGUACGACCGCAAGGUUAAAACUCAAAGGAAUUGACGGGGACCUGAACAAGCGGUGAAUGAUGUGGAUUAAUUCGAUGCUACGCGAAGAACCUUACCUACCUUUGACAUGGCCAAAGUUCUACCGAGAGGCGGAAGUACUCGUAAGAGGAUUGGCGCACAGGUGCUGCAUGGUUGUCGUCAGUUCGUGUCGUGAGAUGUUGGGUUCAGUCCCGCAACGAACGCAACCCUUAUCUUUAAUUGCUCCUAUUUUAACAGGCACUUUAAAGAAACUGCCAAUGAUAAGUUGGAGGAAGGUGGGGAUCACGUCAAGUCCGCAUGGCCUUUAUAGGUAGGGCUUCACACGUCAUACAAUGGUUAGAACAAAGAGCUGCAAAUUCGUAAGAAGGAGCCAAUCUCACAAACCUAACCUCAGUUCGAAUUGCGGUCUGCAACUCGAGCGCAUGAAGCCGGAAUCGCUAGUAAUCGUGGAUCAGAAUGCCACGGUGAAUACGUUCUUAGGUCUU